CACAAAAUUCCCUUCAAUCCCCCCGUUUAGUUGACAUAAAUAGUUAAAGGGAAAUAUCCAAAUCCAUGUCUUAUUAUUUUCAAUAAUCCAUACUUGUAGCAAUGAAAUACUAUAUAUUCCUCCACCAAGUGAUAAAUGAUUGAUUACAAAUAUUUAGGAUAUAUUUUUUUUGCUCUAUCUAUAAAGGCCCAGAAAUACCCUGUUUACGUAUCAUUGGAAAGUGCAUUAACAUAAAUACGGCAGGCCCAGAAAUACCCUAUUUACGUAUCAUUGAAAAGUGCAUUAACAUAAAUACGGCAGUAAGAAGUGGCAAUACAAAAGUGUGUAAACUAUAAAAACGAGUCAAAGUAGAUUUUCCCACACUAGCGCUUCCGCGCAAUAAUUCGACCAAAGGUGAUCCUAUUACAGGAAUAGCGUCAGGGAC
This 424-nucleotide long non-coding RNA is filed under the name Capsicum annuum. RNAcentral's name for it is "long non-coding RNA (CANN_LNC004600)". The record is from RNAcentral. Lineage: Eukaryota; Viridiplantae; Streptophyta; Magnoliopsida; Solanales; Solanaceae.